GAGGAGAGAUUGAAGACUUUUUUGGGUCAGCUGCAGACAGAAUUUGGAAUCCUCGAUAGAAUUGUCUACAAAAAUAAGAAUUAGCAUCGAAGGUGCUCUUAUUUUCAAUACCUGCUUAAGGUUAGAAGGGAUUUGAGGCUUCUGCAAUCAGCAAAGUUGGAGGAAAUCUUGAAUUCCUGCUUUCUGUCUGAAGCGGAGAAGGUGUGAUGGUGGCAAAUAUAACUUUUUGGAAAGGCUUCUUGGAGUUGUACGUUUACUAUCAAAGUAAUAUUCAUCUUCAUUCCAAUGGGAGCUCACUGCUCUAAAUUAGGCUUUUGCUGGUAGCCUUCUAACCUCAGAUCCAACGUCCCUUAUUCCUCUGAUCUUGAUAAAUGUGGAGAAAAUCAGAGGAUGAAACUGCCAGCAUUUAAAGAAUGCAGUUUAGAUGAGCUGAAGGUGGCACCUUCAAGAUUCUCAGUUGAAAACAUUGUAUCAGAACAUGGAGAUAAAGCUCGCAAUGUUGUCUACAAAGGGCAGCUUGAAGAUGAUGCCUCUUGGAUUGCUGUCAAACAUUUCAAUAAGUUUGCUUGGCCAGAUUCUCGGCAAUUCCUGGUUGUUAUUACUUAUUUUAAGCAAGUCCCCAGCUAUAGUCUUCACAAAUGUGAUAUUAUCUUAUUUAUGUACGCCAUAGUACUUAGUUAACCAUGAGUAUGGUGGAUGUUAUUCAGAUUUAAGAUUUGUUGUAUGCAAUUUGUAGGUUGAUAAGUGAGGAAACUUAUUGCAGGCUGAUGUGAUUUGAGACAUUGAUUGUACGGUUGUUAUGCCAUAUGAAUUGAAACAUUGAUUAUACGGCUGUUGUACCUUUGUUUCC
Long non-coding RNA from Coffea eugenioides, 850 nucleotides. RefSeq lists it as uncharacterized. The record is from RefSeq and is a predicted model, not a curated record. The transcript is spliced from 5 exons. NCBI's taxonomy places the organism in Eukaryota, Viridiplantae, Streptophyta, Magnoliopsida, Gentianales, Rubiaceae.